GACGAACGCUGGCGGCGUGCUUAACACAUGCAAGUCGAACGGAAAGGCUCCAGCUUGCUGGAGUACUCGAGUGGCGAACGGGUGAGUAACACGUGGGUAAUCUGCCCUGCACUCUGGGAUAAGCCUGGGAAACUGGGUCUAAUACUGGAUAUGACCUUUCUCCUUAUGGGGUUUGGUGGAAAGUUUUUCGGUGUAGGAUGAGCCCGCGGCCUAUCAGCUUGUUGGUGGGGUGAUGGCCUACCAAGGCGACGACGGGUAGCCGGCCUGAGAGGGUGAUCGGCCACAUUGGGACUGAGAUACGGCCCAGACUCCUACGGGAGGCAGCAGUGGAGAAUAUUGCACAAUGGGCGGAAGCCUGAUGCAGCGACGCCGCGUGAGGGAUGACGGCCUUCGGGUUGUAAACCUCUUUCAGCAGGGACGAAGCGUAAGUGACGGUACCUGCAGAAGAAGCACCGGCUAACUACGUG
Molecule: ribosomal RNA, 467 nt
Filed under: uncultured bacterium
Lineage: Bacteria
Description: partial 16S ribosomal RNA
Rfam family: Bacterial small subunit ribosomal RNA
Source: RNAcentral